RNAcentral lists this ribosomal RNA (468 nucleotides) under uncultured bacterium. RNAcentral's name for it is "partial 16S ribosomal RNA". It matches the Rfam family "Bacterial small subunit ribosomal RNA", at positions 28 to 507 of the family's 1533-position model. The record is from RNAcentral.
GACGAACGCUGGCGGCGUGCUUAACACAUGCAAGUCGAACGGAAAGGCCCUGCUUUUGUGGGGUGCUCGAGUGGCGAACGGGUGAGUAACACGUGAGUAUCCUGCCCUUGACUUUGGGAUAACUUCAGGAAACUGGGGCUAAUACCGGAUAGGAGCUCCUGCUGCAUGGUGGGGGUUGGAAAGUUUCGGCGGUUGGGGAUGGACUCGCGGCUUAUCAGCUUGUUGGUGGGGUAGUGGCUUACCAAGGCUUUGACGGGUAGCCGGCCUGAGAGGGUGACCGGGCACAUUGGGACUGAGAUACGGCCCAGACUCCUACGGGAGGCAGCGGUGGGGAAUAUUGCACAAUGGGCGGAAGCGUGAUGCAGCAACGCCGCGUGCGGGAUGACGGCCUUCGGGUUGUAAACCGAUUUCGACUGUGACGAAGCGUGAGUGACGGUAAUGGGUAAAGAAGCACCGGCUAACUACGUG